This 89-nucleotide microRNA precursor is filed under the name Tupaia belangeri (northern tree shrew). RNAcentral describes it as "microRNA 200b (ENSTBEG00000017983.1)". The stretch from base 10 to 76 matches the Rfam family "mir-8/mir-141/mir-200 microRNA precursor family". Rfam says of the family: The bounds of the precursors are predicted based on conservation and base pairing and are not generally known. The record is from RNAcentral. Lineage: Eukaryota; Metazoa; Chordata; Mammalia; Scandentia; Tupaiidae.
GGGCCACCGUCGGACAUCUUACUGGGCAGCAUUGGAUGGUGUCUGGUCUCUAAUACUGCCUGGUAAUGAUGACGGCGGGGCCCUGCACG